Molecule: ribosomal RNA, 357 nt
Filed under: Triticum aestivum (bread wheat)
Lineage: Eukaryota; Viridiplantae; Streptophyta; Magnoliopsida; Poales; Poaceae
Description: partial small subunit ribosomal RNA
Source: RNAcentral
AUGCCUUGGCGGAAGAAGCUAACGACAUGUGUAAGAUUCCGAGUUAAGCUGUGGUGCGAAGUACCUGCAUGCAUCUUGCAUGGGGGAUGCUGCUUUCCGACUCGCCGCAUGGCGGAAGGAGAUGUGCCAGGGGCAGCAGCGCCUGCGCUGCAUGGCCCUUCCGCCUUGAGGCCUGCCGCGAGCAUGUACAAGCAACCUACUGGAUCGAUCAUUUCUGGACACACACAAGAUACCAGAUCAUCUUCCUGUCUUCAUGACGGUGAUGACGGCGCUGAACAAAGAAGCUUGAGACCCUUCCCCAACAAGGUGUUCGACUUCAUGGUUUGGAAUGGAUUUAGAAAUCUCAAGAGAGGGUGA